AGGUUCGAUCGCAAAGGCCCAACGUAGGUUUCCCUACGCUGAACCUCGGCUCGAUGCACCA
RNAcentral lists this microRNA precursor (61 nucleotides) under Heligmosomoides polygyrus. RNAcentral's name for it is "microRNA hpo-mir-10108 precursor". The record is from miRBase by way of RNAcentral. Lineage: Eukaryota; Metazoa; Nematoda; Chromadorea; Rhabditida; Heligmosomidae.